This is a long non-coding RNA of Suricata suricatta (meerkat), 1475 nucleotides long. RefSeq lists it as uncharacterized. The record is from RefSeq and is a predicted model, not a curated record. The transcript is spliced from 5 exons. Lineage: Eukaryota; Metazoa; Chordata; Mammalia; Carnivora; Herpestidae.
CUUUCAGCAGCGAGAGGCCUGCUUAACAUAUGACUCCGGCUGCAUUACUGCGUGGCGUCCCAGCACCCAUUCGAACAGUUCAGCAAUUUUAAACAAGCUCCACGGACAGGGACUAUUAAAUGGAAGGCAAGGAGCACGCCGGGAGAGCACGUUAAUUACGGGGCAACACCUUCGUCUGCAUUACCUAAAUGACCUCAGGGAGCCGACCAAGCUUGCUAAUAUUCUCAUUACUACACUUGAAAAUCCUCUGUAUCUGACUCACACAGCUUCUGUAAAUCAGUUUAGAGGAGGCAACCUCAACACAUUCCUCUUCUGGACUACUUAUCUAGUUACUACGAGGGAUAAUAAGGCUCCUUGAAGGAUAAUGCAAAAUAAUAUAGUUGGGUUGUCCAACACCAAGUUUCAACAGCUCGAAUACUUAUCUCCUCAGUCUUCUUUUAAUUCAAGCACGAGAGAAAAUGCUUCUGCAAGAAGGAAUUAAUGAAGAGAACUGCAAAAGAAUGUGUGACGGCCUCUUCUGACACGGCACAAACUUUCCACCCAUGUCACGACAAAGGGGAGAAGAAAAUGCAUUGUUGAAUUACUGAUACGUAAAUACUUAAAAGAGAAAACAAUUGUAUAAUUAUCUGUAUUUCGUGAUUCCCAACAAUAUGAUCUCAUAACAGAUGUAACAAGAAGUGUAACAGGGAAAAGUAUUUCAGGAAAAAUAAUGACAAGAAUUCCAACAGGAGACAAGCUUAAUUGUAUUGAUUCAAAAGAUGCAUGUUCAUAGGAACCAUGUUGAAGGAAUAAUGUUAUCUCAAAUCUACAGUUUCUAUUAAAAUGAAAUUGUCCGGCAUGAAAGAGGCAAUUAAGAUUAGUGUCUGCAGAACUAGAGAUACUAAACUAACUAAAUAAUUAUCUGGGCCCAAUUAUCUUAUACUUUAAGUAGCAAAAUACCAGUGUGGAGAAAGUAUAAGGCAUGAGGUUCGCAGGUUUAUUUACUGACUGGUGUAUCUAUUAGGACCAAGAACAAGUGGAGCUGUCAGGACAUAAUGAAGGUAAAUGAUUAGUUAGCACCAAGCCUGAACUCUUCUUCAAUGCAAUAAGAGUUAAUUAAAGUUUACCACCAAACAUCAACCAAAGCAGGAUGUUGAUCAGGUUUCAGCAUUAAGUGCAAACAGACAAUAGUUGGCAGCAAUUAGUGCAGCUAUCAAAUGACAUGCAAUGAUAAUUAUACAUUUAAAACAGCUAAAGAGCUGGGGGAAAAACUAAUCACUUCUUUGACGACAAAUACUCAAAGGGCAGGAAACAGGUAUCAGAUUAUUUCACUUUAACACUGUAAAUCAAUUGAAUUAAACAAGAAAAGGUUGUAUGGGUGCAUUAUCUGAAAGAGAACAGUUCACUGGAUUCAAAAUGAAAUAAAUCUGCUAGUAUUGGUCUAUCAAAGAUAAGAACUUUUGUAGCUAAAGAAAAUAAAUUACUUUUCAAUUAAA